GACGAACGCUGGCGGCGUGCCUAAUACAUGCAAGUAGAACGCUCAAGGAGGAGCUUGCUUCCCUGGACGAGUUGCGAACGGGUGAGUAACGCGUAGGUAACCUGCCUGGUAGCGGGGGAUAACUAUUGGAAACGAUAGCUAAUACCGCAUAAUAGUAGAUGUUGCAUGACAUUCGCUUAAAAGGUGCAGUUGUAUCACUACCAGAUGGACCCGCGUUGUAUUAGCUAGUUGGUGGGGUAACGGCUCACCAAGGCGACGAUACAUAGCCGACCUUAGAGGGGGGUCGGCCACACUGGGACUGGGACACGGCCCAGGCUCCUACGGGGAGCAGCAGUAGGGAAUCUUCGGCAAUGGACGGAAGUCUGACCGAGCAACGCCGCGUGAGUGAAGAAGGGUUUCGGAUCGGAAAGCUCUGUUGUUAGGGAAGAACGAGUGUGAGAGUUGAAAGUUCACGCUGUGACGGUAUCUUACCAGAAAGGGACGGCUAACUACGUG
Molecule: ribosomal RNA, 495 nt
Filed under: uncultured bacterium
Lineage: Bacteria
Description: partial 16S ribosomal RNA
Rfam family: Bacterial small subunit ribosomal RNA
Source: RNAcentral